Molecule: ribosomal RNA, 1279 nt
Filed under: Chrysomeloidea sp. 5 KM-2017
Lineage: Eukaryota; Metazoa; Arthropoda; Insecta; Coleoptera
Description: 16S ribosomal RNA
Rfam family: Bacterial large subunit ribosomal RNA (bases 825-1217)
Source: RNAcentral
ACAAAUUUAAUUAUUUUGUUUAUAGAUUUUAUUUAUUUUGGAAUAAGAAUAUUAUUUUUUAUUACUUGAUUGGAACAAAUUUUUUAUAUGAUAGUUAAUUAGUACUGUGAAGGAACUUAUUUGAGUUUUAGAAAGAAUAAUUUAUUUUUUGUACCUUGUGUAUCAGGGUUGAUUAAUUUUUAAUUAAAAAUUUAGUUUUCUCGAAUUCAGAAGAGUUACUUGUGUUUGGAUUUUAUUGUAAAAUAAAUAUUUAGAAAAUAUGAGUUGAAAUGAAAUGUUAUUCGUUUCUGAAUAUAUCUAGUUUUUCAAGAAAAAAAUUUAAUUUUUCUAUUUAUAAUUAAUUGUUCAAUUUUUUGAUGUUUGAUAUAAAUAGUUUAUAUUUUCAGGGAUGAGCUUGAAUUUAAAUUUUUAUAAGUAAUUAGAGGUUUUUAAUGAAUUAUGAUUAGAAUUUUUAAUUUUUAGGAGGAUGUUAUAGUCUAUUUAGUUUAGGAUAUUAUUUUUAUUUAUUUUAAUUUUUUUAUUGAAAUUUAUUUUUUAAUUUUAGUUUUUUAUUGAUAAUGAUUGGAUUAGUAUAAUUAAUUGUUUUGUAUUUGAAAUUUGUCAGGUUAGGAAAAGGAAUUCGGCAAAUAUAUUCUUCACCUGUUUAUUAAAAACAUGUCCUUUUGAGAAUAGUUUAAGGUCUGACCUGCCCGCUGAGUAGUUAAAUGGCCGCGGUAUUUUGACCGUGCGAAGGUAGCAUAAUAAUUAGUUUUUUAAUUGGAAGCUGGAAUGAAUGGUCGAAUGAGAGAAUAACUGUCUCUUUUUAAAUGGUUAGAAUUUUAUUUUUAAGUAAAAAAGCUUAAAUGUUGUUGAAAGACGAGAAGACCCCGUAGAGUUUUAUAUAAUGUGUAAUUUAAUGCGUUUAGAAUAUUUUCCUAUAAAUUUCAUUUUGUAUUUGGUUGGGGCGAUCAAAAAAUUGAUAUAACUUUUUUGUAAUUUUAACAUUAAUGAAUGAUUACUUGAUCCAUUUAUUUUGAUUAUUAGAUUAAAUUACCUUGGGGAUAACAGCGUAAUUUUUUUUGAGAGUUCUAAUCGAAAAAAGAGUUUGCGACCUCGAUGUUGGAUUAAAAUUAAAUUUUGGUGCAGAAGCUAGAAGAUUGGGUCUGUUCGACCCUUAGAAUUUUACAUGAUCUGAGUUUAAACCGGUGUGAGCCAGGUUGGUUUCUAUCUUUAAUAUUUUAAAAUUUCUUAGUACGAGAGGACCAGGGAUUUAGUAAAUUAUUUUUUUUUGACUAUUAUU